This 422-nucleotide ribosomal RNA is filed under the name uncultured bacterium. RNAcentral's name for it is "partial 16S ribosomal RNA". It matches the Rfam family "Bacterial small subunit ribosomal RNA", at positions 355 to 766 of the family's 1533-position model. The record is from RNAcentral.
UGGGGAAUAUUGCACAAUGGGCGCAAGCCUGAUGCAGCCAUGCCGCGUGUGUGAAGAAGGCCUUCGGGUUGUAAAGCACUUUCAGCGAGGAGGAAGGGUUCAGUGUUAAUAGCACUGUUCAUUGACGUUACUCGCAGAAGAAGCACCGGCUAACUCCGUGCCAGCAGCCGCGGUAAUACGGAGGGUGCAAGCGUUAAUCGGAAUUACUGGGCGUAAAGCGCACGCAGGCGGUUUGUUAAGUCAGAUGUGAAAUCCCCGCGCUUAACGUGGGAACUGCAUUUGAAACUGGCAAGCUAGAGUCUUGUAGAGGGGGGUGAGAAUUCCCAGGUGUAGCGGUGAAAUGCGUAGAGAUCUGGAGGAAUACCGGUGGCGAAGGCGGCCCCCCUGGACAAAGACUGACGCUCAGGUGCGAAAGCGUGGGG